GAUGAACGCUGACAGAAUGCUUAACACAUGCAAGUCGACUCGAGCCUUCGGACUUGGGUGGCGCACGGGUGAGUAACGCGUAAAGAACUUGCCUCUUAGACCGGGACAACAUCUGGAAACGGAUGCUAAUACCGGAUAUUAUGGUUUUUUCGCAUGGAGGAAUCAUGAAAGCUAGAUGCGCUAAGAGAGAGCUUUGCGUCCCAUUAGCUAGUUGGUGAGGUAACGGCUCACCAAGGCGACGAUCUGUAGCCGAACUGAGAGGUUGAUCGGCCGCAUUGGGACUGAGACACGGCCCAG
This 297-nucleotide ribosomal RNA is filed under the name uncultured bacterium. RNAcentral describes it as "partial 16S ribosomal RNA". It matches the Rfam family "Bacterial small subunit ribosomal RNA", at positions 28 to 334 of the family's 1533-position model. The record is from RNAcentral.